UACGGAGGAUGCGAGCGUUAUCCGGAUUUAUUGGGUUUAAAGGGUGCGUAGGCGGCUUUUUAAGUCAGCGGUGAAAUUUUGCAGCUUAACUGUAACAGUGCCGUUGAUACUGGGGAGCUAGGAUUUGGUUGCUGUGGGUGGAAUGUGUGGUGUAGCGGUGAAAUGCUUAGAGAUCACACAGAACACCGAUUGCGAAGGCAGCUCACAAAGCCACAUCUGACGCUGAGGCACGAAAGCGUGGGGAGCAAACAGGAUUA
Molecule: ribosomal RNA, 257 nt
Filed under: uncultured prokaryote
Description: partial 16S ribosomal RNA
Rfam family: Bacterial small subunit ribosomal RNA
Source: RNAcentral